UGACCCCCGAUGUCUCUUUUCAAGUUC
Molecule: non-coding RNA, 27 nt
Filed under: Mus musculus (house mouse)
Lineage: Eukaryota; Metazoa; Chordata; Mammalia; Rodentia; Muridae
Source: RNAcentral